RNAcentral lists this ribosomal RNA (253 nucleotides) under uncultured bacterium. Its description in RNAcentral is "partial 16S ribosomal RNA". It matches the Rfam family "Bacterial small subunit ribosomal RNA", at positions 524 to 776 of the family's 1533-position model. The record is from RNAcentral.
UACGGAGGGGGCUAGCGUUGUUCGGAAUUACUGGGCGUAAAGCGUACGUAGGCGGCUUUGUAAGUUAGAGGUGAAAGCCCGGGGCUCAACUCCAGAACUGCCUUUUAGACUGCAUCGCUUGAAUCCAGGAGAGGUGAGUGGAAUUCCGAGUGUAGAGGUGAAAUUCGUAGAUAUUCGGAAGAACACCAGUGGCGAAGGCGGCUCACUGGACUGGUAUUGACGCUGAGGUGCGAAAGCGUGGGGAGCAAACAGG